ACGGAAGGCAGCAGUGGGGAAUAUUGUACAAUGGAGGAAACUCUGACCCAGCAACGCCGCGUGAAGGAAGAAGGUCUUCGGAUUGUAAACUUCUUUUAUGAGGGACGAAGGACGUGACGGUACCUCAUGAAUAAGCCACGGCUAACUACGUGCCAGCAGCCGCGGUAAUACGUAGGUGGCAAGCGUUAUCCGGAUUUACUGGGUGUAAAGGGCGCGUAGGCGGGGAUGCAAGUCAGAUGUGAAAUCUAUGGGCUUAACUCAUAAACUGCAUUUGAAACUGUAUCUCUUGAGUGCUGGAGAGGUAGACGGAAUUCCUAGUGUAGCGGUGAAAUGCGUAGAUAUUAGGAAGAACACCAGUGGCGAAGGCGGUCUACUGGACAGUAACUGACGCUGAGGCGCGAAAGCGUGGGGAGCAAACAGGAUUAGAUACCCUGGUA
This is a ribosomal RNA of 437 nucleotides. It matches the Rfam family "Bacterial small subunit ribosomal RNA", at positions 341 to 792 of the family's 1533-position model.